This 464-nucleotide unclassified non-coding RNA is filed under the name Hevea brasiliensis (rubber tree). Lineage: Eukaryota; Viridiplantae; Streptophyta; Magnoliopsida; Malpighiales; Euphorbiaceae. The record is from RNAcentral.
GGAAUCAUGUACCAAAAUGAAUAAGCUUCGUGAUGACAAAAACACGAAUAUGUUACUUCAUUGGACCACUUCUAUUUGGUGGUCCGAACGCAAUAGGAUAACCAGGAAGUGAAUCAUUAUAUAAAAACCACAAAAUGACCACUUCGUUGUUUGACCUCUAAAGGGUGCCCCAUCACCAAAGGGAAGACUGCCUACGCUGUCACAACAAUAGGCAGCAAAUGGGUGUCUUUUUUUUUCAGUAGCUAUGAUGAUAUACGAGUGUGAAUGGCUUAGUGACAAAGGAAAUGAGUGAGUUUUGAGCGCGCACUUCGCAAACAAAUCCAUGCGUCUGCUAGAAGAAUUCUUAGUCCUGUCUGUCCAUACGGAUACCUUCUAAGCAAAGGAUUACAUAUAGAGAGUGAUCAAAAGAUUUAAAAGCUUUAAUUUAAUAAUUAUGUUCUUCAAUUUUAAUUUUAUAGUUUAUA